GUCAAAUAAUGUGAUUGUUAAAUUUUAGAUGUGGUAGUUGAUUUCUCUGAAAUAAGAAUAUUGAUAGUGUAGUCUAUAUCGUGCUGAUUCCAGGACAGUUGUUUUGGAACUGGAAGGGAGAUGUAUGAAAAUCCUUACAGCAGCACUGUUCCAAUGAUGAGUAUCAGGGUAGUGUUGUGUUUGUUUUGCAGGUGAUAUUAAUGUAGUAGAAAAAGUGACAAUUUCAUUCUAUUCACUAUAAUCUUUUGGUGGUUUGUGUUUUUUUUCUGGUGUUUUUUUAAUUGCAGCAGGUGAACAAGAUGAGAAAUAAUGUGUAACAGUGAGGGUUUGUUUGAAAUAAUCAACAGUUACAGAAAAGUACACUUCAUCACUGCACAAGAAGUUCAAACCCUGGAUUUAAAAGAAAAGACAUGUCAUAAACUUCAAGCUCCCAGAUUUUCUGGCAUCCAUGGACUCUUCUGUCUGCACAGCAGAGGAAUUGCACUGGUUCUGGAGGAGUUGUUACAGAUGUACACUGGCACGAGUGGAAAGAAGGAAGUUGCUUGGGAGUUCUACCCAUAUAGGAA
Molecule: long non-coding RNA, 566 nt
Filed under: Anser brachyrhynchus (Pink-footed goose)
Lineage: Eukaryota; Metazoa; Chordata; Aves; Anseriformes; Anatidae
Description: lncRNA (ENSABRG00000013800.1)
Source: RNAcentral